CAGUGGCGAACGGGUGAGUAACACGUGAGCAAUCUGCCCUUGACUCUGGGAUAACUGCGGGAAACUGUAGCUAAUACCGGAUACGACCUGAAGAGGCAUCUUUUUGGGUGGAAAGAAUUUUGGUCAAGGAUGAGCUCGCGGCCUAUCAGCUAGUUGGUGAGGUAAUGGCUCACCAAGGCGACGACGGGUAGCCGGCCUGAGAGGGUGACCGGCCACACUGGGACUGAGACACGGCCCAGACUCCUACGGGAGGCAGCAGUGGGGAAUAUUGCACAAUGGGCGCAAGCCUGAUGCAGCAACGCCGCGUGAGGGACGAAGGCCUUCGGGUUGUAAACCUCUUUUAGUAGGGAAGAAGCGACUGGGUUUUCCUGGGAGUGACGGUACCUGCAGAAAAAGCACCGGCUAACUACGUGCCAGCAGCCGCGGUAAUACGUAGGGUGCAAGCGUUGUCCGGAAUUAUUGGGCGUAAAGAGCUCGUAGGCGGUUUGUCGCGUCUGCCGUGAAAACCCGAGGCUCAACCUCGGGCCUGCAGUGGGUA
Molecule: ribosomal RNA, 538 nt
Filed under: uncultured Cryobacterium sp.
Lineage: Bacteria; Bacillati; Actinomycetota; Actinomycetes; Micrococcales; Microbacteriaceae
Description: bacterial SSU rRNA
Rfam family: Bacterial small subunit ribosomal RNA
Source: RNAcentral